UACGGAGGGUGCAAGCGUUGUCCGGAAUUAUUGGGCGUAAAGAGCUCGUAGGCGGUUUGUUGCGUCGGCUGUGAAAACCUGAGGCUCAACCUCAGGCCUGCAGUCGAUACGAGCAGACUAGAGUGUUGCAGGGGAGACUGGAAUUCCUGGUGUAGCGGUGAAAUGCGCAGAUAUCAGGAGGAACACCGGUGGCGAAGGCGGGUCUCUGGGCAACAACUGACGCUGAGGAGCGAAAGCGUGGGGAGCGAACAGG
This 253-nucleotide ribosomal RNA is filed under the name uncultured bacterium. RNAcentral describes it as "partial 16S ribosomal RNA". It matches the Rfam family "Bacterial small subunit ribosomal RNA", at positions 524 to 776 of the family's 1533-position model. The record is from RNAcentral.